RNAcentral lists this unclassified non-coding RNA (306 nucleotides) under plant metagenome. Its description in RNAcentral is "partial contains 5.8S ribosomal RNA, internal transcribed spacer 2, and large subunit ribosomal RNA". The stretch from base 1 to 105 matches the Rfam family "5.8S ribosomal RNA", at positions 50 to 154 of the family's 154-position model. The record is from RNAcentral.
GAAAUGCGAUAAGUAAUGUGAAUUGCAGAAUUCAGUGAAUCAUCGAAUCUUUGAACGCACAUUGCGCCCGCCAGUAUUCUGGCGGGCAUGCCUGUCCGAGCGUCAUUUCAACCAUCAAGCCCCCGGGCUUGUGUUGGGGACCUGCGGCUGCCCGCAGGCCCUGAAAACCAGUGGCGGGCUCGCUGUCACACCGAGCGUAGUAGCAAUCACCUCGCUCAGGGCGUGCUGCGGGUUCCGGCCGUUAAACAGCCUUACAAAACCCAAGGUUGACCUCGGAUCAGGUAGGAAGACCCGCUGAACCUAAGC